CCUACGGGGGGCAGCAGUGGGGAAUAUUGGACAAUGGGGGCAACCCUGAUCCAGCCAUGCCGCGUGUGUGAAGAAGGCCCUCGGGUUGUAAAGCACUUUCAGUGAGGAAGAACGCCUGGUGGUUAAUACCCAUCAGGAAAGACAUCACUCACAGAAGAAGCACCGGCUAACUCCGUGCCAGCAGCCGCGGUAAUACGGAGGGUGCGAGCGUUAAUCGGAAUUACUGGGCGUAAAGCGCGCGUAGGUGGCUUGAUAAGCCGGUUGUGAAAGCCCCGGGCUCAACCUGGGAACGGCAUCCGGAACUGUCAAGCUAGAGUGCAGGAGAGGAAGGUAGAAUUCCCGGUGUAGCGGUGAAAUGCGUAGAGAUCGGGAGGAAUACCAGUGGCGAAGGCGGCCUUCUGGACUGACACUGACACUGAGGUGCGAAAGCGUGGGUAGCAAACAGGAUUAGCUACCCGUGUAGUA
RNAcentral lists this ribosomal RNA (465 nucleotides) under Vreelandella stevensii. RNAcentral describes it as "partial 16S ribosomal RNA". It matches the Rfam family "Bacterial small subunit ribosomal RNA", at positions 338 to 795 of the family's 1533-position model. Lineage: Bacteria; Pseudomonadati; Pseudomonadota; Gammaproteobacteria; Oceanospirillales; Halomonadaceae. The record is from RNAcentral.